This 3332-nucleotide small RNA is filed under the name Pongo abelii (Sumatran orangutan). Its description in RNAcentral is "processed transcript". Lineage: Eukaryota; Metazoa; Chordata; Mammalia; Primates; Hominidae. The record is from RNAcentral.
ACUCGUACCACAAAGUGGGCAGCUGAGGAGCUGAUCACCGCCUGGUACAUCGGGUUCCUGGUGCUCAUCUUCGCCUCCUUCCUGGUCUACCUGGCCGAGAAGGACGCCAACUCCGACUUCUCCUCCUACGCCGACUCGCUCUGGUGGGGGACGAUUACAUUGACAACCAUUGGCUAUGGUGACAAGACACCACACACAUGGCUGGGCAGGGUCCUGGCUGCUGGCUUCGCCUUACUGGGCAUCUCUUUCUUUGCCCUGCCUGCCGGCAUCCUAGGCUCCGGCUUCGCCCUGAAGGUCCAGGAGCAGCACCGGCAGAAGCACUUCGAGAAGCGGAGGAUGCCGGCAGCCAACCUCAUCCAGGCUGCAUGGCGCCUGUACUCCACCGAUAUGAGCCGGGCCUACCUGACAGCCACCUGGUACUACUAUGACAGUAUCCUCCCAUCCUUCAGAGAGCUGGCCCUCUUCUUUGAGCACGUGCAACGGGCCCGCAAUGGGGGCCUACGGCCCCUGGAGGUGCGGCGGGCGCCGGUACCCGACGGAGCACCCUCCCGUUACCCGCCCGUUGCCACCUGCCACCGGCCGGGCAGCACCUCCUUCUGCCCUGGGGAAAGCAGCCGGAUGGGCAUCAAAGACCGCAUCCGCAUGGGCAGCUCCCAGCGGCGGACGGGUCCUUCCAGGCAGCAUCUGGCGCCUCCAACAAUGCUCACCUCCCCGAGCAGCGAGCAGGUGGGUGAGGCCACCAGCCCCACCAAGGUGCAGAAGAGCUGGAGCUUCAAUGACCGCACACGCUUCCGGGCAUCUCUGAGACUCAAACCCCGCACCUCUGCUGAGGAUGCCCCCUCAGAGGAAGCAGCAGAGGAGAAGAGCUACCAGUGUGAGCUCACGGUGGACGACGUCAUGCCUGCUGUGAAGACAGUCAUCCGCUCCAUCAGGAUUCUCAAGUUCCUGGUGGCCAAAAGGAAAUUCAAGGAGACACUGCGACCGUACGACGUGAAGGACGUCAUUGAGCAGUACUCAGCAGGCCACCUGGACAUGCUGGGCCGGAUCAAGAGCCUGCAAACUCGGGUGGACCAAAUUGUGGGUCGGGGGCCCGGAGACCGGAAGGCCCGGGAGAAGGGCGACAAGGGGCCCUCCGACGCGGAGGUGGUGGAUGAAAUCAGCAUGAUGGGACGCGUGGUCAAGGUGGAGAAGCAGGUGCAGUCCAUCGAGCACAAGCUGGACCUGCUGUUGGGCUUCUAUUCGCGCUGCCUGCGCUCUGGCACCUCGGCCAGCCUGGGCGCGGUGCAAGUGCCGCUGUUCGACCCCGACAUCACCUCCGACUACCACAGCCCUGUGGACCACGAGGACAUUUCUGUCUCCGCACAGACGCUCAGCAUCUCCCGCUCGGUCAGCACCAACAUGGACUGAAGGACUUCUCAGAGGCAGGGCAGCACACGGCCAGCCCCGCGGCCUGGCGCUCCGACUGCCCUCUGAGGCCUCCGGACUCCUCUCGUACUUGAACUCACUCCCUCACGGGGAGAGAGGCCACACGCAGUAUUGAGCUGCCUGAGUGGGCGUGGUACCUGCUGUGGGUGCCAGCGCCCUUUCCCCACCUCAGGAGCGUGAGAUGCCAGGUCGCACAGAGGGCAGCAACAGCGGUCCCGCGGCCUCUGGGCCCCCCAGUGCCCUGCCCACUCCAUCAAGGCCCUAUGUGGCCCACCUGGCAGGGUCACAGCCCCGGGAGUGGGAGCGGGUGCUGGGGCCCUGGGCCCUGACCCAGCUUCCAGCUAUGCAAGGUGAGGUCUCUGGCCCACCCUUCGGACACAGCAGGGAAGCCCUCCCGCCAAGUCCCCGCCCCACUUGGGGGUGGGCCAAGGUGCCCCCACAGGUACCCACAAAGCACAGGACCCUGCCACAAGGCAGGUGGGCACCAUAUAUGCAAACCAUGUUAAAUAUGCAACUUUGGGGACCCCCAUGGGGUCUCUCUGCCCCUCCCCCAUUGGGAGCUGGGCCCCCAGCAGUAGCUGGUCUCAGGCUGCUUGGCCACCACCCUGUCCCUAUUCUUUGGCUUAUCACUCCUUCCCCUCCCAGCAUGGGGCCUGUUUCUCCCCUGCUCUCUCCUAAGGGCAGUGCCUGGGCCUUUCUUCCCAUUUGCAAGUGUCAGCUCCCAGGGGCUCCCUCCUCCUGCUGGGUGGCCACUCCCCUCCUUGGCCCUCCAGACACCACUCAUAGUCAGCACAAGUUUCUGUAUUCUCCCCAAAACUUCCAGACAGUGCUUCGUGGACGAUCACACAAACAUAGCCUUUUAGUUUCUCCAGACAGGAAGAAAGCCUCUCACACUUAAACAUGCAAUGACGUGACACACUUGGAGACAUGAGCUCAGAGCCACUCAGCCGCUCCUGGGCCUCUGCAGCAGAUGCCAGUGGACUGGCCUUGCAGGAUGAUGUCCACUAAGAGGAAGAGCCCCAACUCCAUCUGAGCAGGAGAGGGAGCUUUGAAGUAACCCGAGAGCUCUCCAGGCCCCACCCAGACCUUUACCCACUCCCCUUCUUCAGGAAGAUCUCCUCCUCUCUGGUCCAGGAGCCCUAACCCGCUGCCUCUGCCUGUCUCCAAGGGCCCGCCUCCGUGUCUCCACAGCACAACUCGGGCCCAGGCCUGACACCACUGGGGAGACCCCAGGCCCGCUUCUAGCCAGGCCUGUGCCUUCCUAGUCACUCUAACUCCCAGAGAGAAUAAGAAUGCAUCUAAUAGCUAUACCAACCGCGCAUCUGGCUUUCACAUGCACUGUCUCCCCUCCCUCCAUACCCCGCUUCUUCACUUCAAUUGGCAGCCCCACAUCCGGGCAUAAGCCCCCAUUCACUCCAGGAACACUUUCUUAUCCCCACCCCUUUGCUCCUCUUCUGCAAAGCCAAUGCAGGUGGCAGGAAGGUGAGGGGUAGUGGACCAAUGGCAACCCCCUCUGGGAACAAGGGGCCGAGGCCACGCUGCCUGCAUCUUGUGCUGGGGACCUGCAUGCGCCAGCACCAGGGCUUGGACUGGAUCUUGCUCAGUCCAUGGUGCCCAGCCUCUGCCCCAACAUGCCCUCUGCAUGUGACCAUCAUGCCCUGGAUGGAGCCUCUCCUGGCUCACCCCACCUGCACUGCACUGUCCCCAGAGAGCCACCCCUCCACCCACUCAGAGACAGCUGUGGAGAGGGCCAGGAGAAUGGGAUUACCCUAUGACCAAGGAGACAUGGGAAGAAGCCCUCCUUCCUUCCACGAUCGAGGUUCCCCCAUCAACUCGGUUCUCGGAUAUGCAAGUACCUCACUUUGUUAACUUAUUAACUUAUUGGUUUCAUUAAAGUUUUCAAUAGG